RNAcentral lists this long non-coding RNA (212 nucleotides) under Zonotrichia albicollis (white-throated sparrow). RNAcentral describes it as "lncRNA (ENSZALG00000003005.1)". The record is from RNAcentral. Lineage: Eukaryota; Metazoa; Chordata; Aves; Passeriformes; Passerellidae.
UCCCUCCCUCCUUCCCUCCCUCCCUCCCUCCUUCCCUCCCUCCUUCUAACUAAUCAAGGAGACAGGUUCUGUCGAAGGAACUGGUAGUUAUUCCAAAGCACCCCCUUUUCAGUAAAAAGACUCUGCUGCGAUUCCUUAUUCUUCUCACGUCUUCAAGGAAUACGUAAAGCUGAUCUCCAUGCAAGAAAAAAGGUAGUGUGCAGUUUUUUACU